This is a long non-coding RNA of Manis pentadactyla (Chinese pangolin), 1996 nucleotides long. RefSeq lists it as uncharacterized. The transcript is spliced from 3 exons. Lineage: Eukaryota; Metazoa; Chordata; Mammalia; Pholidota; Manidae. The record is from RefSeq and is a predicted model, not a curated record.
CCACCUGCAGCAUCCCGCCUACCGCCUUGGCCGCCCCGCCCCCCGAGGCGGAGGCCGCGCCGCAGCUUCCUGCAGGCGGGCACGCGGCUUAAGCGGCCCUCUUCGGCUUCCGUCCGCGGGCUGUAGGCCCGGGCUCUGCUGCCCCCUGACGGCGGGCGGUGCGCGCUGGCCGGAAGUGCGCGCGGGUAGCUGGACGAGGUACGGGGUCGACAGACAGAGAUACAAAGAACACCUCAGUAGAAGUCGCGGAUUGUUGCACCUGCGUGGAAAGGAUGCGCCAAGAAGGCGGCGGCCUAGCGCAGCCAGCGCCCGGGACGCGGCCCCACUGGGUCUGCAGGUCCUCCACGGCGGCGGCGGCGGCGGCGGCGGCGGCACACGCAGUGGACUAAGGGGCUGCUAGGAGCCCUCGGUGUCGGUGUUGUCGCUGCCGGUGGUGUUCUCCCAGUCCACCUCUCCCUGCCUGGAGCUGUGCAGUACCUUCCUGAGCGCCCGCUUCCUGGGGAAAACCCGGAAGCACUGGCAGGCCCACAGUGGCCCACCAGGCCGCCAAUGGGUCAGUGGCUGAGCUGGGCCUGCACCGGGGCCCCCCACGCCUCAAGGGCAGGCCCACAGCUACAGCUGCUGGACGGACGCCCCCCGACCCCCAGGAGGCCCACCGGGACGCGCAUCUCCAGCCGCCGCCUGAGCCUGCCCUUCACGGCCAGCAGCUGGCCCUCGCGCUGGAAGAGCUGCAGGUGCAGCUCGUCGGCCUUCUCGUCCAGCUCCCGCACGCGCCUGCGUAGCCGGUCCUUCUCCUGAAGGCUGCGUGCCUGCUGCGCGUGCAGCUCCUCCCUCGCCGCCGUGGCCUGCGGGGAAUCACAGGGCGGGCGCCCGGAGACUUGUGGGGGGACCCCGCAGGAGCUCACCCGGCCUCUGGCGACACUCCCAGCACUCUCCCAGGAGCCAGCAGGGCUGGGCCACCCUUCUUCUCUUCUCCGUGGACGCAUUUGGGGGAUUGUAACAAAGGCCCGUGAUGAAAAGUGUGGACGUGUUGGGCAGAAAGACAGAAGUGAGCAGGUGGAGGGAGAAUACGGCCAGUGGAGUCCGCUGAAAAGGGCUCAAAAGAAUUAACCAGCUAAAACCAGAGAGCCAGAAAGGGCUCGCAGAGUUAAUUAGUUGAAGUUCCAAAGGCCAGGAGUGACUUGGAAAGUCUGGGAUAUUCCCCAGAUAGAGAAAAGUAUCCAAGCGCAGCCCAUGUCUGCCUUGCACCAGGUAGAUCAUGCCACUGUAAAAUAUACUUAGCCUGUGAAAAAGGCCCAGUUUAUUCUUUAACUUAAUCUGUAUGCUGUUCUUCCUCUUCUUCCAGCCCCUUAAUUAGUGACUUUGUAACCGGGGCAGGAGACAGAGCUGCAAGUGUAAAUGAACCUAUGUGGAUAGAGAAUGCCAAGAACCAGGUCAACACAGUCACCUAAACAACCCUAUUCUUAAAACAAAACUUCAAAGGAAUUAUGAGUCACCUGUAUACAUCAUGCCUUAUGCUGACUCUUACCCAAAAGGCCCUAUAAAACCCCAAACUCUAAACCCUUAAGCAUGCCUCCUCUCUGAGGUUGCCCACAGUCCCCUUUCUUCACGUGGCACUCUCUCUUCUACUCCAGGUAAGUAGAAGGGCUGCUCAGAGCUCUGACCUGGGGCCUGCAGGUUCCCUUCCCCUGGGCUCCUUAGCAGCCUGCCUGAAAGUCUCUUCUUUGCCUUUGGAAAGUUCUCAAAACAUAAUCUCACUCCACCCAGUGCUCUGCGGCUCUCCAAAAUCCUGGGGUGAUAGAGGCUUGGUUCCCAUGCUGUGCAGAUCCGAGAGGACACCGGACGCCAGGUGACCCUGGCUCCAGAAGUUGACAAGGUAUCUGCCCAACGCCGAGCUGGAGUUCAGUGAGCUUCCCUUUCUUGCCUUUGUCUACCUUGACUCUGGCCUGCUACUCCCUGGGAGUGUGUUCAAAUAAAACUUACGCAUUCUGCUUUG